GAAAUGCGAAAAGUAAUGUGAAUUGCAGAAUUCAGUGAAUCAUCGAAUCUUUGAACGCACAUUGCGCCCUCUGGUAUUCCGGGGGGCAUGCCUGUUCGAGCGUCAUUACAACCCUCAAGCUCUGCUUGGUAUUGGGCCCCACCCCCGCAAGGGGAUCGGCCCCAAAAUAAUUGGCGGUGCCCAUUGGUCUCCGAGCGUAGUAACAAUAACCUCGCUUUUCGAGCCAAUGCGGCCCCUUGCCACAAUCCCACAUUUUUAUCAGGUUGACCUCGGAUCAGGUAGGGAUACCCGCUGAACUUAA
RNAcentral lists this unclassified non-coding RNA (301 nucleotides) under uncultured Ascomycota. RNAcentral's name for it is "sequence contains ITS1". The stretch from base 1 to 105 matches the Rfam family "5.8S ribosomal RNA", at positions 50 to 154 of the family's 154-position model. The record is from RNAcentral. Lineage: Eukaryota; Fungi; Ascomycota.